GGCGACAUAGCUCAGUUGGUAGAGCACAGCACUGAAAAUGCUGGUGUCGUUGGUUCGAUUCCAACUGUCGCCACCA
This 76-nucleotide transfer RNA is filed under the name Hymenobacter arcticus. Its description in RNAcentral is "tRNA-Phe". It matches the Rfam family "tRNA". Rfam says of the family: Transfer RNA (tRNA) molecules are approximately 80 nucleotides in length. Their secondary structure includes four short double-helical elements and three loops (D, anti-codon, and T loops). Further hydrogen bonds mediate the characteristic L-shaped molecular structure. tRNAs have two regions of fundamental functional importance: the anti-codon, which is responsible for specific mRNA codon recognition, and the 3' end, to which the tRNAs corresponding amino acid is attached (by aminoacyl-tRNA synthetases). tRNAs cope with the degeneracy of the genetic code in two manners: having more than one tRNA (with a specific anti-codon) for a particular amino acid; and 'wobble' base-pairing, i.e. permitting non-standard base-pairing at the 3rd anti-codon position. The record is from RNAcentral. Lineage: Bacteria; Pseudomonadati; Bacteroidota; Cytophagia; Cytophagales; Hymenobacteraceae. RNAcentral also lists the same sequence under 1 other name.